Daphnia magna is the source of this 1625-nucleotide long non-coding RNA. RefSeq lists it as uncharacterized. NCBI's taxonomy places the organism in Eukaryota, Metazoa, Arthropoda, Branchiopoda, Diplostraca, Daphniidae. The record is from RefSeq and is a predicted model, not a curated record. The transcript has 2 exons.
CUCGUUGUUGACAAAGGUGCUGGUACUUUUUUGGAGGGAUUUCAGUUUGCAAGUUCUCUCUGUCUGAAUUGUUCUUUGAAAAUGGACUUCAUUAAUUCAAGAAUAAUGGCGGGAAAAAAGUAAAAAAAAAAAAAAUUUAAUUAUGUAAUCCAAGUCGGGGGAUGAGUUACGUAACGACCACGUGUUGAGGGAAGGCGGAUUUUGUAACGCCAUCCGGAUAUUACCAUACAGACGCACACAGCGGAACGGUAACCUCGUGUGCAACUUCAACACACACACACAAAAAGGAAAUGGUGUGACGAAUUUCGAUUUUGGAAAAAAGAGAAAACGAGUGACAUGAGACGACGGACAAGAGCAGACGGAACUGUCGUGUUUCAUAGUUGCUUAUGCUUGACCUCGUGGUGCAUCUGUUAUCAGCACGGUAUCGAAUUUCCAUAUCCAAUUAAGAAGAAAAAGACUCAAUUUACACCAAAAUUGGAUAGGGGUAAAACAAAACCCUGUGCCGACAAAUAACAGGGCAAAUUGAGUGUCGAAAAAGAAAAUGAAUUCAGAAAUGAGUGGGGGAGGUGGCGGAAAUGGGGGGGGGAGAGAAAAACGAAAAAAAAAAGGUAAAGUAAAGAAAUUAGAAUUUAAGAAAAAAAAGGGGUAGGUAGAGAAAAAACUAAAGAAAAAAAAAGGGGGGAAUCUGUUAUGAAGAAGAAAAAAACCCAAAAAAAAAAAAGAAAAAUGAAACUUGUUUUGGGGUUCGGAAUUUGUUUCAUCCUCCUACUGCUGGCCAAUCCAGGUGAGAAAAUGUUCAGAUUGAGUGAGAAAGAAAAUGGCGUGUGUACACAGGGUUAUGGGACAGGUAAGGGCAUUGGGAGUUGAAAGCCUCUCAAUUCACAACGGGAUCUGACCCUGAUUUAUUUUUAUUUUUCUCCACCUCAUUUUGCCCAUCACGUUUUCAACCCCUUUUUUUUCAAUGUUAUUUUCACCUUCGAUUUGACGAAAUUUGUUUUUUGUUGUCCAUCUCACGAACGGACUCCAUUUGUUUGUUUUUUUAAAAUCAAGGUUAAGAAGCUUUGCCGGUCUGUACGAGCAGCCGCGUGGGGGAGUUGUCAUGGAGCGCUCGCAGUGGCGACUUCCAUCAUCCCCGCAAAGAAAAAUGUCGACGAGAGAUUUCAAACGAAAGGGAAAGGAGACAACCGUAACAAAAAGAAGAAGACAGCGUUUUUAUGGCGUAUCCCUGUCUCAUUUUUAAAUAGAUUAAAAAGAAUUUUUAAAAAAUAUAUACAUAAAAACUUUUCUUUUAGAGGGGGAAGUUGUUUGCCGGUGCACGGCUCCACGUCGCCGGCCUAUAGACCGCAAGACGCGGGCUAAACAAGUUUGAAAGCCGCGUUACCGUACACUGGGUUUUAACCUUGUAAAUAAAAAAACGAACGAAGAGUGAAAAUGUCGUCCGGAGGGGGGAGCGCGGAAUAAUACAAGUCGAGGAGUAAGAGCCCGGCAUUCCGGCACCCAAUCCAUCGACAUACGGCCUUGAAAUAGUCAAGUCUCUCUCUUCUCUCCUCGUUUUCUUUUUUUUUUUUUUCACUCUCUCUCUCACUAGAGAAGAUAGAAAUAUAAAUAAAAUGUAUAAAAUUGUA